Molecule: ribosomal RNA, 253 nt
Filed under: uncultured bacterium
Lineage: Bacteria
Description: partial 16S ribosomal RNA
Rfam family: Bacterial small subunit ribosomal RNA
Source: RNAcentral
UACGUAGGGGGCUAGCGUUGUCCGGAAUCAUUGGGCGUAAAGCGCGUGUAGGCGGCCCGGUAAGUCCGCUGUGAAAGUCCAGGGCUCAACCCUGGGAUGCCGGUGGAUACUGUCGGGCUCGAGUCCGGAAGAGGCGAGUGGAAUUCCUGGUGUAGCGGUGAAAUGCGCAGAUAUCGGGAGGAACACCUAUGGCGAAGGCAGCUCGCUGGGACGUUACUGACGCUGAGACGCGAAAGCGUGGGGAGCAAACAGG